CCUACGGGUGGCUGCAGUGGGGAAUAUUGGACAAUGGGGGGAACCCUGAUCCAGCCAUGCCGCGUGUGGGAAGAAGGCCCUCGGGUUGUAAAGCACUUUCAGUGAGGAAGAACGCCUGGUGGUUAAUACCCAUCAGGAAAGACAUCACUCACAGAAGAAGCACCGGCUAACUCCGUGCCAGCAGCCGCGGUAAUACGGAGGGUGCGAGCGUUAAUCGGAAUUACUGGGCGUAAAGCGCGCGUAGGUGGCUUGAUAAGCCGGUUGUGAAAGCCCCGGGCUCAACCUGGGAACGGCAUCCGGAACUGUCAAGCUAGAGUGCAGGAGAGGAAGGUAGAAUUCCCGGUGUAGAGGUGAAAUGCGUAGAGAUCGGGAGGAAUACCAGUGGCGAAGGCGGCCUUCUGGCCUGACACUGACACUGAGGUGCGAAAGCGUGGGUAGCAAACAGGAUUAGAUACCCUAGUAGUC
This 465-nucleotide ribosomal RNA is filed under the name Vreelandella stevensii. Its description in RNAcentral is "partial 16S ribosomal RNA". It matches the Rfam family "Bacterial small subunit ribosomal RNA", at positions 338 to 795 of the family's 1533-position model. Lineage: Bacteria; Pseudomonadati; Pseudomonadota; Gammaproteobacteria; Oceanospirillales; Halomonadaceae. The record is from RNAcentral.